This 275-nucleotide ribosomal RNA is filed under the name uncultured bacterium. RNAcentral's name for it is "partial 16S ribosomal RNA". It matches the Rfam family "Bacterial small subunit ribosomal RNA", at positions 523 to 796 of the family's 1533-position model. The record is from RNAcentral.
AUACGGAGGGAGCGAGCGUUGUUCGGAAUCACAGGGCGUAAAGCGCGCGUAGGCGGCCGAGUAAGUCGUGUGUGAAAUGCCGGGGCUCAACCCCGUGCACUGCAUGCGAUACUGCUUGGCUCGAGAGAGGCAGGGGCGAGCGGAAUUCCCGGUGUAGCGGUGGAAUGCGUAGAUAUCGGGAAGAACACCAGUGGCGAAGGCGGCUCGCUGGACCUUUUCUGACGCUGAAGCGCGAAAGCGUGGGGAGCAAACAGGAUUAGAUACCCCAGUAGUCC